AACUUGAAUUUGGGUUUUUAACUUAGGUUUGGGUGGCGGACGGGUGAGUAACGCGUAAAGAACUUGCCUCACAGGUAGGGACAACAUUUGGAAACGAAUGCUAAUACCUAAUAUUAUGAUAAUAGGGCAUCCUAUAAUUAUGAAAGCUAUAAGCGCUGUGAGAGAGCUUUGCGUCCCAUUAGCUAGUUGGAGAGGUAACGGCUCACCAAGGCGAUGAUGGGUAGCCGGCCUGAGAGGGUGAUCGGCCACAAGGGGACUGAGACACGGCC
This 269-nucleotide ribosomal RNA is filed under the name uncultured Fusobacterium sp. Its description in RNAcentral is "partial 16S ribosomal RNA". It matches the Rfam family "Bacterial small subunit ribosomal RNA", at positions 65 to 331 of the family's 1533-position model. Lineage: Bacteria; Fusobacteriati; Fusobacteriota; Fusobacteriia; Fusobacteriales; Fusobacteriaceae. The record is from RNAcentral.